Molecule: non-coding RNA, 1493 nt
Organism: Oryzias latipes (Japanese medaka)
Lineage: Eukaryota; Metazoa; Chordata; Actinopteri; Beloniformes; Adrianichthyidae
Source: RefSeq, a predicted model, not a curated record
GCCAUUAAUAUUGCUAUUUUGAUGCCACAGACACCAGUGCAACCUAAAAUUAAGCCUUUCGUUUUGGUAAAUUCAUCCACAAUCAAAGCCUUAGGGAACAGAGUCAAUGCAAGCACCUUCAUGAAUAACAAAAUAGGGUUAAUUAAACUAUUAAUACCGGAAGGAUUGCUUUUUUACUUCAAAAGGAAAUUGCCCUGAGUAGCAGGAGAAAGAUAUGUAUGCCUCAAAGAAAGUGGGAUGGACAAAGCACACACUAAUGGAUUGAAAUAAUAGCUGACAAAGAUUCUCAGCAUUUGUACAGUAAUGCUCAGUGGCACCAAAAGCGGCGCCAUUACCAGAGACUCCAGUUUAAUUUGUGCUGAUAGGCCAGGGACUCUUUGCCGGCCAAGGAGACCCACUGAUGCGGGCGGCAGUCAGCCCUAAUGCCCCAGUUUGAUGGGAGAUGACUGGGAGGGGGUUGAGAGGGAUCACAACCAAUGGGCGCUCGCUCAAGUGGGACCACAGUGACAGUAAGCAGCUGUGGGAACUUUCAUUCUCACUCAGCAGGAGUCAGCACAGAGCAAGAGCGUUUGAGAGCUUUGGCAGGAGGGUGCUGCAGUGCUGUGAUUACACGGCACCCAUGUGCCAACGGCUUCAAACAGCUAAAGGUGGACAAAAGGGUCAGAGCUGGCACCAGUAAGAGUGAUGUCGCUUAUGGGCUACUUUGAUCAACAACAACCACUCAGGAUGAUGCAGUGCCCUGCUCCCCGACACGACAGCAUCACUUAAUCUUAAUGUCCGCCUCUACAGAGUGGCCGCACAGGACAAAGCCAAUCAGCAUCACAUGCCAUGGGGAUGGACCUACAGCUUGGCCCUGGAGUUUCUCACCCUUGCAGGCCUAUUCAUCAACUUCAGCCACACCAAUCCCAGAGUUCUACCCUUGCAAACCACAGCUGAGCCGGCCAAUGAUCUAUGGGACAAUGAAGAAGGUUGGGGGGUGGGGGGUGUUCUGGCGUGUGCGAGAGAACACUUAUCAGAUUGCACAUUAUGCACUGCUUUGUGUUCAGUAGAAGAAAAAAAACUAUGGUGGGGAAGUAAUGAAUGUACUCAGCCCUACUUGAGUUCAGACCACCUAUUUGCCGCGUUUAAAGAGAUAUCUGCUCAAUACUUCUACAGCACCCAGAAUACGAUAGAUCUGGAAUAAUGAUCACUGCUCAUUUAGAUAAAUUGCACUCAGGGAAUCCAUUUGUAAAGAUCUGAAUUCAGCUGGAAGCAAAGACAAUGGAGAUGCUUCUUCAUCCAGCUACCUCCCCAUCGGUUGUGGGAGUUUGGCUCUUCAGGGAAUGGGGUAAUCCCAAACUCCAGAGACGUGUUAGAAGACACUUAAAAGCAAGUAUCAAGAUUUUUAAUAUGUGACUUCAGCAGGAAAACUGAGACACAGAAUGCACCAUCCAGCUCGUCCUUCAAAGUCCUUGAGUUUGAUACAGACACAAUAAAACACCUCUUUUCUGUGA